AACGCACGAGACCUGCGGACCUGCGGAGGGAUCAUUAAUGAGAAGCUGCCCCACGUGGGUAGACCUCCCACCCUCUGUGAACUUACCUUUGUUGCUUUGGCAGGCCCGUCCUCUGGACCGCCGGCUUCGGCUGGCCCGUGCCUGCCAGAGGAUUCCAAACCCUGUCUGUCAGUGUUGUCUGAGUCUAUAUGAAAUCGUUAAAACUUUCAACAAUGGAUCUCUAGAUCGGAAGAGCACACG
This 240-nucleotide unclassified non-coding RNA is filed under the name soil metagenome. RNAcentral's name for it is "partial contains 5.8S ribosomal RNA, internal transcribed spacer 2, and large subunit ribosomal RNA". The record is from RNAcentral.